UCACUGGGAAUGUAAUAGCUAU
RNAcentral lists this microRNA (22 nucleotides) under Bombyx mori (domestic silkworm). The record is from RNAcentral. Lineage: Eukaryota; Metazoa; Arthropoda; Insecta; Lepidoptera; Bombycidae.